AUUACCGUGGAUCUCAAUCCAGCCUUGGUUGCAGUGUCACCUCCAAUCCGCAUCAGGUGGAUGGAUGGAAUUGAGGUAUGAAGGGAAUUCAUCUUGGAAAGCUUGUCCUAGCACAACUUUUCUUUUAUCUGAAAUGGGGACAAGACCACUGCCAUCUUACCAUUUCAUAGUGGUGAAAUUGCAAGCAGGCAGGAAAAAGUUUUGCUUGUUAUCCCAUGAAGUAAAAGACCCUAGAUAUUUGAUUUAGAUGUAAUAGUGUAGGUGUGGCCUCUUCGCUAUAUAACAACAAAUAAACACGUGUACUGUUCUUUGGAAAGGCAAAACUUGCUUUUGAAAAGUUUGUUUUGGCAAACAAAAUAUGGAUUGGUAGAGCACUAGCAUUAUUUUUUUCUUGAAUUAUUGAAGCUGAUUAAUAGUUUCCAGUAUUUAACUGUGACCCCGAAUCCUGAUACAUGCUAAUUGAUUAAGUACAAUCACACCCAAUCAUUUGUUGUAAAUUUUUCUCUGUCCUGAUUUUACUGCAUUUGCACUACCAUUUGUGUUCCAGCGAUAAGGUUUAAUCUGGCUCUUACUUUAUUUCCCUCAAUUAUGCAAUGUGAUACGUGGGCUAAAGCAUAGAAUCUGUAUGAUGAAGAAAGGGGAGAAAGCACUAUUCAUGCUCCCUCCUUUGGCUUGUGGAGAUUCUGGUGCUUCUGUUGUUCCUACUGGUUCUGAGCUACAUUGAGAUAGAGCUCUUAUCAUGGUUGAUAGUGGUGGAUAUUUAUAGAAAUGGUGGAAUUGUAAAGAGAAUCCUAUCAAUUGGAGGGAACAGACAAACCAGGGAUCUUGAUGAAGUUACGGGUGAACAGUUCAUGACAAAUCAUCAAACUUCUUAGCAUUUUUUAUAUUUGAAUACCAAUGUGCUUGGCUUCACCUGUAUACUCUAAUACUCUAAUCUUAUUCUUGUAUGACAAUUGUUCUCGCACUAAUACAGUCAAGUACAAAACCAAGCUAAUUGAUGAGACGACAGUUGAAGAAUCUCCAGAAGAAGGAUCAAUUUUCUUUGUGAACGAAGGACACGUCUGUGGAGCAUUGCCUAUGGUCCUAAAAACUAUGAAGUAAGGAGAGAGAGCUGCUGUGAUGGUGCAAUCACAAUGUAUGUCUCAUCUGUUAGAUGCGUAAAAUAAAUAUAUUAAGAGCUACUUUGUCGUGGUGUUACAUUGUCGUGGUAUUAUCUUGUAAAAAUAUUUCGCUCCUGUUACAACGCACGAACAUUUAACUAUAAAUAUAUAAAGAGCUGCCUUGUCGUUUCCUUA
Molecule: long non-coding RNA, 1295 nt
Organism: Phragmites australis (common reed)
Lineage: Eukaryota; Viridiplantae; Streptophyta; Magnoliopsida; Poales; Poaceae
Exons: 2
Source: RefSeq, a predicted model, not a curated record